Molecule: small RNA, 1548 nt
Filed under: Arabidopsis thaliana (thale cress)
Lineage: Eukaryota; Viridiplantae; Streptophyta; Magnoliopsida; Brassicales; Brassicaceae
Description: ATSL035740
Source: RNAcentral
AUGAAUCGGCAAAUCUUCGAUCAGAGGUUAAAACCAACAAAAACUUGCUUAGAAGCAGUAAAUAGCUUUGUUAGUGUUUAUAUGGUCAAAAUGUGUCAUAAUCCAAAGCCUUUGACUAAGUAUAAGAGUUAGAGAUGGAUUAGGAGUGUUUAGACAACACUUAUACCCAUUUUUUUCCAAAAGAGGCUAAAACCAACAAAAUUUGCUUAGAAGCAGUAAAUAGCUUUGUUAGUGUUUCUAUGGUCAAAAUGUGUCACAAUCCAAUGCAUUUGACUAAUGAUAGGAGUUUGAGAUGGAUUAGGAGUGUUUAGACAACACUUAUACCCAUUUUCUCCCAAAAGAGGCUAAAACCAACAAAAAAUUGUUUCGAAACAGUAAACAGUUUUGAUAGUGUUUUUAUGGUCAAAAUGUGUCACAAUCCAAUGCAUUUGACUAAUGAUAAGAGUUUGAGAUGGAUUUGGAGUGUUUCGACAACACUUAUACCCAUUUUCUCCCAAAAGAAGCUAGAACCAACAAAAUAUUGCUUAGAAACAGUAACCAGUUUCGAUAGUGUUUUUAUGGCAAAAUGUGUCACAAUCCAAUGCAUUUGUAUAUUAUAAGAGUUAGAGAUGGAUUAGGAGUGUUAAGACAAUACUUAUACCCAUUUUCUCCCAAAAGAGGCGAAAACCAACAAAAAAUUGUUUAGAACCAGUAAAUAGUUUUGUUAGUGUUUCUAUGGUCAAAAUAUGUCACAAUCCAAAGCCUUUGACUAAUUAUAAGAAUUAGAGAUGGAUUAGGACUGUUUAGACAACACUUAUACCCAUUUUCUCCUAAAACAGAUUAAAACCAACAAAAAAUUGCUUAAAAGCAGUAAACAGUUUUGUUAGUGUUUUUAUGGUCAAAAUGUGUCAAAAUUCAAUGCAUUUGACUAAUUAUAAGAGUUAGAGAUGGAUUAGGAGUGUUUAGACAACACUUAUACCCAUUUUCUCUCAAAAGAGGCUAAAACCAACAUAAAAUUGCUUAGAACUACUAAACAGUUUUGUUAGUUUUUUUAUGGUCAAAAUGUGUAAGAAUCCAAUGCAUUUGACUAAUUAUAAGAGUUAGAGAAGGAUUAGGAGUGUUUAGACAAUACUUAUACCCAUUUUCUCCCAAAAGAGGCUAAAACCAACAAAAAAUUGCUUAGAAGCAGUAAACAGUUUUGUUAGUGUUUUUAUGGUCAAAAUGUUUCAGAACCCAAUGCAUUUGACUAAUUAUAAGAGUUAGAGAUGGAUUAGGAGUGUUUAGACAACAGUUAUACCCAUUUUCUCCCAAAAGAGGCUAAAACAAACAAAAAUUGUUUUGAAACAGUAGACAACUUUGUUAGUGUUUUUAUGGUCAAAAUGUGUCACAAUCCAAUGCAUUUGACUAAUUAUAAGAGUUAGAGAUGGAUUAGGAGUGUUUAGACAACACAUAUACCCAUUUUCUCUUAAAACAGGCUAAAACCAACAAAAAAUUGCUUGAAGCAGUAAAUAGCUUUGUUAGUGUUCUUAUGGUCAAAAUGAGUCACAAUCCAAAGCCUUUGACUAAAUU